Molecule: long non-coding RNA, 1526 nt
Organism: Panthera uncia (snow leopard)
Lineage: Eukaryota; Metazoa; Chordata; Mammalia; Carnivora; Felidae
Exons: 2
Source: RefSeq, a predicted model, not a curated record
ACUACCCACCUUUAACUCUAAUGAGAAAGGCAGUAAUGGAGGGGACCCUGGCAGUUGAUCAGGCAGUACAGACAUAGUUUCACUACUUCUUGGAAGAUGACAGAUCAAGCAGAGCAGAGAAUUAUCAUACCAAGCUAUUUGUGUUUCAUGUAAUAAUGCCCUAAUGAUUCAAUUAGCAUUGAUUCUUCAGCAGCAACAAUAUUUUCUGACUGAUCCAGCAAUUUAGUGCUCACUGUUGAUUGAUACAAUUCCUAUGUGUAAUAAAGCAGUUUGAAAGAAAUUUGUUUAAUUCUUCACAAAUGACUUUUUAAAACCUUUUAAUUUUAACUUGAUCUUCAUUUCCCACUCUUUCCCUACCCCUGGAGGUCAUAAGGGCCCUUUAUUCUGAGUCUCCUGCCAGGCACCCCUGCUGCAUUGGUCAUCACGUGGCCAGGUCCUCCCUGCCCCUUGUCUGGGCAUCUUCAGCCUUCACCACCCCCCACAGAUGCUUGGUGGCUGCAGCCAGAGGAACAGAUGGGGCACAAUUGCUGAGCCUCGGUGAAUGGUACCCGGCACACAGCCGCUGUGGAAACGGCCCAGGCGAGAACCACUGAAGCAGGCUUUCUGAAAAACUGCCCUGGUAACACCGCUAAAAUUGGAAAAGAGGCAGGGUGUGUAGGGGGGCAGAGUGGGAGGCUGGUGGGAGAGAAGAAGGAUGAUCAAAAACAGAGAAGGGAACUAAAACAGACUAUUGGAAUAAAAUCUCUUACCAGUUAAAAACUGGGCUUCCCAGGAAAAAAGCUGAAACACUGUGGCUCUUGAGCAAAACCCCAGGAAGGGAAGCCUUUGUGACCUCAGGGAUUGGGCAAAAGGGCCAAGAGUCUGUGGUAUCUCAUCCUGACACUGUUUCUAAGCCCAUAGUCUCCUCCCAGCUGUGGCUCCCACCAAGAGCCUUUCCAGUAUGAAAUACAGGGGGCAGGGGGAAGUGUGUGGAGGAGGAAAGCCCCAGGGGCUGAGGGAGGUGUUGUUGUCCCAACCCCUGCUGUUCCUCUAGGCAACCAAUACACCACAUGACAGUCAAUGGCCCGUGGAUGGAGCCAAACUGGGGUGCUCUGCUGCCUGGGUCCCCUUUAAACAGUUCUGCCGCCAUUUCUGUGCCAGCUCUAGUGUCUACAUCUUGACUGUUUCUAUCGUCACUCCUCACCCGUCAUGCUGUCCCAAGUCAGGGCACAUCUGACUCAAGUCAGAUGGGAGAGGCAUCCUGCUGCAUUUAUCCUCAAGGAAGAAAAUCACAGACAGGCGAAGUGCAGCACUGCUCAUCCCAGGCACCCACAGUCUCCUCACCCAGGGGACGUUGCUGACGCAAUGACAAAGGUGGAAGAUGGAAUGAGUGCACCUGGAGGAGAGCUGAAAACUCACCUGUAGAGGCUCAAAAUCUGGACUGUGCUUCCCUCCUUUCCAAUCUCCUUUACCUCCAAACUCCAUAACUGAGCCCCUACAUCUUUACACAUGGCAUGUCAACUAGAUUCUUAGGAAACAGAAACUCA